UUCCGGUUGAUCCUGCCGGACCUGACUGCUAUCGGAUUGAUACUAAGCCAUGCGAGUCAUUGUAGCAAUAGAAGGCAGACGGCUCAGUAACGCGUAUUCAUCCGAACCUAUGGACGGGACUAACCUCGGGAAACUGAGAAUAAUGCCCGAUAGAACGCUAUACCUGGAAUGGUUUGUGUUCCAAAUGAUUUAUCGCCGUAGGAUGGGACUGCGGCCUAUCAGUUUGUUGGUGAGGUAAUGGCCCACCAAGACUAUUACAGGUACGGGCUCUGAGAGGAGUAGCCCGGAGAUGGGUACUGAGACACGGACCCAGGCCCUAUGGGGCGCAGCAGGCGAGAAAACUUUGCAAUGUGCGAAAGCACGACAAGGUUAAUCCGAGUGAUUUGUGCUAAACGAAUCUUUUGUUACUCCUAGAACCACUAACAAAUAAGGGGUGGCCAAGUUCUGGU
This 449-nucleotide ribosomal RNA is filed under the name uncultured archaeon. RNAcentral describes it as "bacterial SSU rRNA". It matches the Rfam family "Archaeal small subunit ribosomal RNA", at positions 1 to 456 of the family's 1478-position model. The record is from RNAcentral.